AUGCAGGAGACCCCUGACACCACCGUGAAGCCUCUUUUCUGUGGCCAGCUGGAGCUUUCUGAACCCACCUGGAUGAUGCACCACAUGAGGCCAAUUAAGUGUGUGGCAUUUGAAGGAACCUUAACUGGAAGGCGUUUCUAUGGUUGUCCAGUGCAGCAGAGUGAAGGUGUUAACUGUGGUGUUAUUGAGUGGGUUGACAAGCCCUGGCAUCCAAUUCUUCAGAAUUGCUUGUCCAGGCUGUGGGACAUGUACCAUGAACAAAAUUGUGGCAGGGUAGUUGAUAAGCAGAAGUAUGAGAAGCAUUUGGCCAAGCUUAAGACUGAAAAUGACAAGCUGUGCAUUGAGUACACAAAGCUUGUCCAAGAUGUAUCCAAGAUGUUUGAUUGGUAG
RNAcentral lists this ribosomal RNA (390 nucleotides) under Triticum aestivum (bread wheat). Its description in RNAcentral is "partial small subunit ribosomal RNA". Lineage: Eukaryota; Viridiplantae; Streptophyta; Magnoliopsida; Poales; Poaceae. The record is from RNAcentral.